GAAUCUGCCCGAUAGUGGGGGAUAACCUGGGGAAACCCAGGCUAAUACCGCAUACGUCCUACGGGAGAAAGGGGGCUCCGGCUCCCGCUAUGGGAUGAGCCUAUGUCGGAUUAGCUAGUUGGUGAGGUAACGGCUCACCAAGGCCACGAUCCGUAGCUGGUCUGAGAGGAUGAUCAGCCACAUCGGGACUGAGACACGGCCCGAACUCCUACGGGAGGCAGCAGUGGGGAAUAUUGGACAAUGGGGGCAACCCUGAUCCAGCCAUGCCGCGUGUGUGAAGAAGGCCCUCGGGUUGUAAAGCACUUUCAGCGAGGAAGAACGCCUAGCGGUUAAUACCCGCUAGGAAAGACAUCACUCGCAGAAGAAGCACCGGCUAACUCCGUGCCAGCAGCCGCGGUAAUACGGAGGGUGCGAGCGUUAAUCGGAAUUACUGGGCGUAAAGCGCGCGUAGGUGGCUUGAUAAGCCGGUUGUGAAAGCCCCGGGCUCAACCUGUGAACGGCAUCCGGGAACUGUCAAGCUAGAGUGCAGGAGAGGAAGGUAGAAUUCCCGGGUGUAGCGGUGAAAUGCGUAGAGAUCGGGAGGAAUACCA
RNAcentral lists this ribosomal RNA (590 nucleotides) under Vreelandella aquamarina. Its description in RNAcentral is "bacterial SSU rRNA". It matches the Rfam family "Bacterial small subunit ribosomal RNA", at positions 122 to 711 of the family's 1533-position model. Lineage: Bacteria; Pseudomonadati; Pseudomonadota; Gammaproteobacteria; Oceanospirillales; Halomonadaceae. The record is from RNAcentral.